This 468-nucleotide ribosomal RNA is filed under the name uncultured bacterium. Its description in RNAcentral is "partial 16S ribosomal RNA". It matches the Rfam family "Bacterial small subunit ribosomal RNA", at positions 28 to 507 of the family's 1533-position model. The record is from RNAcentral.
GACGAACGCUGGCGGCGUGCUUAACACAUGCAAGUCGAACGGAAAGGCCCUGCUUUUGUGGGGUGCUCGAGUGGCGAACGGGUGAGUAACACGUGAGUAACCUGCCCUUGACUUUGGGAUAACUUCACGAAACUGGGGCUAAUACCGGAUAGGAUCUCCUGCUGCAUGGUGGGGGUUGGAAAGUUUCGGCGGUUGGGGAUGGACUCGCUGCUUAUCCGCUUGUUGGGCGGGUAGGGGUUUACCAAGGCUUUGACGGGUAGCCGGCCUGAGAGGGUGACCGGGCACAUGGGGACUGAGGGACGGAGCAGACUGCUACGGGAGGCAGUAGGGGGGAAUAUUGCACAAUGGGCGGAAGCCUGAUGUAGAAACGCCGCGUGCGGGAUGACGGCUUUCGGGUUGUAAACAGAUUUCGAAUGUGACGAAGAGUGAGUGACGGUAAUGGGUAAGGAAGCACCGGCUAACUACGUG